This 1457-nucleotide ribosomal RNA is filed under the name uncultured Bordetella sp. Its description in RNAcentral is "partial 16S-23S ribosomal RNA intergenic spacer". It matches the Rfam family "Bacterial small subunit ribosomal RNA". Lineage: Bacteria; Pseudomonadati; Pseudomonadota; Betaproteobacteria; Burkholderiales; Alcaligenaceae. The record is from RNAcentral.
GUAACAGAGGGUUCGAUCAUGGCUCAGAUUGAACGCUGGCGGGAUGCUUUACACAUGCAAGUCGAACGGGCAGUACGGACUUCGGUCUGGUGGCGAGUGGCGAACGGGUGAGUAAUGUAUCGGAACGUGCCUAGCAUGGGGAUAACUACGCGAAAGCGUAGCUAAUACCGCAUGGCCGCCCUUCGGGGAAAGCGGGGGGACCUGGCCUCGCACUAUUAGGAGCGGCCGAUAUCGGAUUGGGCUUGAAGUUGGUGGGGUAACGGUCACUGUUGCUGACGAUCCAGAAGGUUGAGGACGACCAGCCGCACUGGGACUGGAGAUACGUCUGACUACGGGAGGCAGCAGUGGGGAAUUUUGACAAUGGGGAACCCUGAUCCAGCCAUCCCGCGUGCGAUGAAGGCCUUCGGGUUGUAAAGCACUUUUGGCAGGAAGAACGGCACGGAUAAUACCCCGUGCAACUGACGGUACCUGCAGAAUAAGCACCGGCUAACUACGUGCCAGCAGCCGCGUAAUACGUAGGUGCAAGCGUUAACUGGAACUACUGGGGCGCAAGUGCAGGCGGUUCGGGAAAGAAAGAUGAAAUCCCAGAGCUUAACUUUGGAACUGCAUUUUUAACUACCGAGCUAGAGUGUGUCAGAGGGAGGUGGAAUUCGCGUGUAGCAGUGAAUGCGUAGAUAUGUAGAGGAACACCGAUAUGAAGGCAGCCUCCUGGGAUAACACUGACGCUCAUGCACGAAAGCGAGCAAACAGGAUUAGAUACCCUGGUAGUCCACGCCCUAAACGAUGUCAACUAGCUUUUCGUUGGGGCCUUCGGGCUCGGUAGCGGAAGAAUGGCAGGAAGUUGACCGCCUGGGAGUACGGUCGCAGAUUAAACUCAAAGGAAUUGACGGGGACCCGCACAAGCGGUGGGAUGGCGACGAUCCGAUAACGGCGAAAAACCUUACCUACCCUUGACAUGUCUGGAAUCCCGAAGAGAUUUGGGAGUGCUCGCAAGAGAACUGAACACAGGUGCUGCAUGACACGUCAGCUCGUGUCGAGAUGCUGGGUUAAGUCCCGCAACGAGCGCAACCCUUGUCAUUAGUUGUUACGAAAGGGCACUCUAAUGAGACUGUUGCGACAAACUGAGGAAGGUGGGGAUGACGCUCAAGUCCUCAUGGCCCUUAUGGGUAGGUCUUCACAUCGCCAUACAAUGGUCGGGACAGAGGGUCGCCAACCCGCGAGGGGGAGCCAAUCCCAGAAACCCGAUCGUAGUCCGGAUCGGGUAGUCUGCAACCCGACUGCGCAAGCCGGAAUCGGGUACACUGUGGAUCAGCAUGUCGCGGUGAAUACGUUCCCGGGUCUUGUACACACCGCCCGUCACACCACGGAGUGGGUUUACCAGAAGUAGUUAGCCUAACCGUAAGGAGGGCGAUUACCACGGUAGGAUUCAUGACUGGGGUGAAGUCGUAACAAGGUAA